AGGACGAGCGCUGGCGGCGUGCUUAACACAUGCAAGUCGAGCGGAAAGGCCCUUCGGGGUACUCGAGCGGCGAACGGGUGAGUAACACGUGAGCAAUCUGCCCUUAGCUUCGGGAUAGCUCCGGGAAACCGGAAUUAAUACCGGAUAUGACUAUGGCUGACAUCAGCCACGGUGGAAAGUUUUUCGGCUAGGGAUGAGCUCGCGGCCUAUCAGCUAGUUGGUGGGGUAACGGCCUACCAAGGCGACGACGGGUA
This 254-nucleotide ribosomal RNA is filed under the name uncultured bacterium. RNAcentral's name for it is "partial small subunit ribosomal RNA". It matches the Rfam family "Bacterial small subunit ribosomal RNA", at positions 26 to 285 of the family's 1533-position model. The record is from RNAcentral.